This 253-nucleotide ribosomal RNA is filed under the name uncultured bacterium. RNAcentral's name for it is "partial 16S ribosomal RNA". It matches the Rfam family "Bacterial small subunit ribosomal RNA", at positions 524 to 776 of the family's 1533-position model. The record is from RNAcentral.
UACGUAGGGGCCUAGCGUUGUCCGGAUUUAUUGGGCGUAAAGAGCUUGUAGGCGGUUUGUCGCGUCUGCUGUGAAAUUUCGGGGCUCAACCCCGAACUUGCAGUGGGUACGGGCAGACUAGAGUGUGGUAGGGGAGACUGGAAUUCCUGGUGUAGCGGUGAAAUGCGCAGAUAUCAGGAGGAACACCGAUGGCGAAGGCAGGUCUCUGGGCCACUACUGACGCUGAGAAGCGAAAGCAUGGGGAGCGAACAGG